AAUAAAUGGGUUUCUCCCACUUUAUUUCUCCCUUUGACUGAUUUCCAUUUCAAAGGUAUUUUGCCUGGAGAUUUCCCCACACACUUACAGUAAGGUUAUAUCUACCAUAGAUAAUGAUUCCUCUGACGAAUGUAGGAAAAGUUCAUUGAAAAUCUUCUGGAAAGGAUUCAUCAUUCUGGAUGCCAUUAAGCAUAUUUGUGAUUCAUGGGAAGAAGUCAAAAGGCCAACAUUGGCAGGAGUUUGGAACAAGUUAAUUCCAACCCUCAAGGAUGACUUUGAAGAGUUUAAGACUUCAGAGGAAGAAAUAACUGCGGAUGUGGUGGAAAUAGUGAGAGAACUCGAAGUAGAAGUGGGGCCCAAAGAUGUGGCUGAAUUGCUGCAGUCUCAGGGUGAAAUAUUAGCGGAUGAGGAGUUGCUUCUUACGAAUGUGCAAAGAAUGUGGUUCCUUGAGAUGGAAACUACUCCUGGUGAAGACGCUGUGAAAACUGUUGAAAUGACAACAAAGGACUUAGCAUAUUACACAAACUUAAUUGAUAAAGCAGCCAUAGAGUUUGAGAGGAGGGACUCCAAUUUCAAAAGAAGUUCUGCAGUGGAUAAAAUGCUAAUGAACAGCAUUGCAUGAUACAGAGAAAUCAUUCAUCAAAGGAAAAGUCAAUUGGUGCAGCAAACUUCAUUGUUGUUUUAUUUUAAGAAAUUGCCACAGCCAACCCCAUCUUCAGCCACCAACUCUCUGGUCAGUCAGCAGCCAUCAACAUUGAGGCAAGACCUUCUACCAGCAAAAGAUAACAACUCACUGAAAUCUCAGAUGAUGACUGGCAUUUUUUAGCAAUAAAGUGCUUUAAGAUGAGAAAACCAAGAUAAACAUGAGAACAGGUGAUUUUUUAUCUUCAGGUCACACAACUUACGAGCAAAAGAAAUACAAGGACAACUUAAAUAACUCAGAAGAAUGUGAAAGAACAGAAAGAAGCAUACACAUAAAGAAGUAACUAUACAACUCACUAUCAGAUGUUAGCAAACUCCCAAGGUAUCAAUAAAAGGUAAGCUCAGCUCUUAUACAGCAUAGAUUUUUAGACUGGGAAUAUUCUAUAAAUGGAAAUGUAAUUUGGUGCUAACUCUCCAAGAAAUACCAUGUUAAUGUACCAUGAACUCAGUUGAUUUACUUAACUAAAAAAUACCAUUUCUUGUAAUUUAUUCAAAAGAAGUAAUCAGAAAUCCAAUCAAAGAAAUAUACACUUUGGGAGAGAUACAUAACCUAUACACCUGGAAAUAUCCUAAAGUCAUCAAAAUAAAGCCUUAGUAUUCAAUAGCAUGAAAAUGCUUGUGUUAUAAUGCAGUGCAAAAAAUAACAGGUUCCCAAAACUCUUUAUGCAAUAAGAACUAAAGUUUUAAAAAUCGAAUUUUCUUU
This is a non-coding RNA of Manis javanica (Malayan pangolin), 1405 nucleotides long. The record is from RefSeq and is a predicted model, not a curated record. Lineage: Eukaryota; Metazoa; Chordata; Mammalia; Pholidota; Manidae.